GAUUAACGCUGGCGGCGUGCAUAACACAUGCAAGUCGAACGAUGAAACUUUUAUGAAUUCUUCGGGAUGAUUAAAAGUGGAUUAGUGGCGGACGGGUGAGUAACGCGUGAGUAACCUGCCUUAGAGAAGGGGAUAGCCGUUGGAAACGACGAAUAAUACCCUAUGAAAUAAACACCUCGCAUGAGGAGUUUAUCAAAGAUUUAUCGCUCUAAGAUGGACUCGCGUCUGAUUAGCUAGUUGGUGGGGCAAAGGCCUACCAAGGCAACGAUCAGUAGCCGGCUUGAGAGAGUGUACGGCCACAUUGGGACUGAGACACGGCCCAGACUCCUACGGGAGGCAGCAGUGGGGAAUUUUGCACAAUGGGGGAAACCCUGAUGCAGCGACGCCGCGUGAUUUAGAAGGCCUUCGGGUUGUAAAAAUCUUUUGUAUGGGAAGAAAAUGACAGUACCAUACGAAUAAGGACCGGCUAAUUACGUGCCAGCCGCCGCGGUAA
Molecule: ribosomal RNA, 493 nt
Filed under: uncultured Eubacteriales bacterium
Lineage: Bacteria; Bacillati; Bacillota; Clostridia; Eubacteriales
Description: bacterial SSU rRNA
Rfam family: Bacterial small subunit ribosomal RNA
Source: RNAcentral